GUCCAGUCCACUGUGUUCUUUGACACCGUCGCUGUCUAAGGUGAGUCCUUGGGCCAGGUCUCCUUCAAACUGUUUGCAGACAAGUUCCAAAGACAGCAGGAAACUUUUAUGCUCUGAGCACUGGAGAGAAAGGAUUUGGUUAUAAGGGUUCUUACUUUCCUAGAAUUAUUCCAGGGUUUAUGUGCUAGGGUGGGGACUUCACAUGCCAUAAUAGUAAUGGUGGCAAAUCUAACUACCAGGAGAAACUUGAUGAUGAGAACUUCAACCUGAAGCAUACAAGUCCUGGCAUCUUGCCCACAGCAAAUGGUAGACCGAAUACAAAUGGUUCCCAGUUUUUCAUCUCCACUGCCAAGACUGAGUGGUUGAAUGGCAGGUAUGUGGUCUUUGGCAAGGUCAAAGAGGCCAUGAAUGCCACAGAAGCCAUGGAGCACUUUGGGUCCAGGAAUGGCAAGACCAGCAAGAAGAUCACCAUUGCCAAAUAUGGACAACUCUAA
Molecule: long non-coding RNA, 494 nt
Filed under: Homo sapiens (human)
Lineage: Eukaryota; Metazoa; Chordata; Mammalia; Primates; Hominidae
Description: non-protein coding lnc-MTMR1-2:1
Source: RNAcentral